This is a long non-coding RNA of Ceratitis capitata (Mediterranean fruit fly), 1179 nucleotides long. RefSeq lists it as uncharacterized. The transcript is spliced from 2 exons. The record is from RefSeq and is a predicted model, not a curated record. Lineage: Eukaryota; Metazoa; Arthropoda; Insecta; Diptera; Tephritidae.
CUCCUAUCAAUAUGUGCUCACCACUUUCUUUAUACUCUACCAAAAAAAACUUCUUAGCUUCCGUUAUGCGCUCACUCACAUUACAUUAGCUCAGCUGCUUGCGAUGCGCAUUGGUGUACGGAAAACGCAUUGCGGAAAAUUCCCUGCGUUAUAUUAGUAUACACGAUGCGUUGCUUUAAUUUCGUGCAACAUCUAACGACAGCCACAACAACAAAAACAACAUAACUACAAACAAUGAUGCUGCAUUAGCAAUGAUUUUUACUGUGACAAAGAGCCAAAGUGUGAAGAGGAUUGAGACGAACGACGAUUUUACAGCUACAUCGUUUGGGUUGCUUUGAGUAUGAUGACGGCGACUGCGACCAGCACGACAACAAUGGCAGCGACGACGAUGACUGAGACUACCACGACUACGACGAUGACGACGACGACGACGACGACGACGACGACGACGACGACGACAACGACAAUGCAGACGACACAAGCAGAGGCAAAAUAAUUUCCCAGCAGUUUUCGCGUAGCUUUUCUCACGUCCAAACGUGUUGCGGGUGAAAUGGAAUCGAAAAUUCAGAAAUAUUAUGCUUGAAUUACUAUAUUUAAAGUGAACUGUUAAAUAUUUAAUUAAAUAAGAAAAAAAUAUUAAAAGUUAUAAAAACUAAUUAGUACAAGUUUUAUUAAUUCUCAAAUCCUUAGAAAAUAAAUGUAAAGUGUAAAUGUAUGUAAAAUUUAAUCACAAACGAGUGAAAUUUGAAAUGUGUUUAAAAGGCAAAUGAAACAUGUUGCUUUAAAUAAUGUUCUUCAUCGUAGACAAAUAAAAUGAAAUGUUUGCUAAAAAUCUUAAAUAUUCAAUUAAAAUCCGAAAGAAAGAAAUAAAAUAAAGCUGCUGUGAAAAGUGCUUAAGAGAAAGUGCAUUGCGUUGAGUCGUUAAGUAACGCGCCAAAAUGUGCCACAAGUGAAAUCUGCAAUGAGCUGAAAAAAAAACACAAACACACCCACUCUAAGAGAAGAACGAAAAAGAAACUACACAAAAUUAAAACAAUAGAAAAGUGCAAUAACAAAAUGAGCAUAGAUUCGAAUUAAAAUUUAAACAGCGCGAAUAACAGAAUUUGUUUUGUCUAUAAAGAUGUGCAACAACACUACCUAAAGCAAAACGACAACCAAAGGAAAAAGAAAAAAAAAAAA